This 209-nucleotide unclassified non-coding RNA is filed under the name Hevea brasiliensis (rubber tree). The record is from RNAcentral. Lineage: Eukaryota; Viridiplantae; Streptophyta; Magnoliopsida; Malpighiales; Euphorbiaceae.
CGUGCAAGUAUCGAACCACUUUCUUCAGGGAUCUAGUUAAUGUUUAGUACAAAUAAGAAAUGCUUAAAGGAAUCGAACGCUUGUGAAUAAGACAGAUAAAGAUAAGCAUAAAAAUUUCUCAUUCCCAAUUCUUCCAAUGCUAGGCAUGCUCCAAACAAAAUGCCCUAAUACAUUACGAAAAAAAUCUCAAACACGUGAUCAACGAACAG